UAAAAAUACAGGAGAAAAUAAUGUGGUGCAAAUCAGGUGCAAACGUCGUGCGUCCGGCGCGCCAUCCGCGCUCGCCCGAUACGAAGACAAGCCGAGCUUGCGGCCAAGCCAGCCAAGCUAAGCCAAAUAGUUAACUCGGCUAGGGUGGCCUAACUCGGCGCACGCUUUGUGUAAUCUCGACACGUAAGCCUGCUUACACGGUGUUUGGUUUAGUGUAUUUCCGCGACGAGAACGUGAAGGCUAUGUUCAACGUGCACCAUAAGAACUCAGCCACAAAUGUCUUGGAUUAUGACUCUACAAAGUGGCACCAAGAAUAAUGGCAAGACGAGCAACAAGCUUACGUCAAGGCCCAUGUGCUCCGAUUGUUCGAAUUUUGGAGGCAUUUCCUCAAGUGCCGCUGCAGCUGCCCAGAAGAAAGUGACACAAGACAUAGUUGCCUUGGCAAAAUGGUCGCCGACAUCAUGAAGGGCCAGCAUAAGCAUUUGUAGUUUUGAUUAUGAAAAUAUAUUUGAACGUAUGCCUCA
Long non-coding RNA from Rhipicephalus sanguineus (brown dog tick), 524 nucleotides. RefSeq lists it as uncharacterized. The transcript is spliced from 2 exons. The record is from RefSeq and is a predicted model, not a curated record. NCBI's taxonomy places the organism in Eukaryota, Metazoa, Arthropoda, Arachnida, Ixodida, Ixodidae.